GUUUGUUGACAAGGCAUGAAGCCUUAAGCUCCUCCCACAUGGGGUGUUGUCCCGACUGAGAAAUUACUUUCACUUUCUCUUAACUCAGAACGGUGAGUGGACUUUUUAUGUCUGUAAAUCUACAUUAUAGUUGUGUAUUAAAGUUUAUUUUAAUUACGUUUAUAGCUUAGAAUAACUUGUAAUGCUGAGCCGUGCCUUUUUUUUCUUUUAUCUUAAAUGACUCGUGGUUUCUUCUCUCUUUCUCUUUAGUUUAUUGACACAGAACAUUUUUUAACCUUUUUUUUAUGAAAAAUCAUUUUAUUCCAAAUUUAAGAUAAAAUAACAGACCUCGUUCUUCAAAAGGUGGAAACAUGACGACUCUACUUGAGAAAAUAGAAAACUACGGCGCACAGGCAGCUUUUAAACUGAGAGGUGCAGGUUUUCAGACGGACUCUGAGAUUCAGACUCUGACUCCAGAAAAACUAGAAGAACUGUUUCCUGGACAAGAGAAUCUAAAUCUGAGAAAGGACAUCUUGAAAAUAAUUCAGAAUCAGGAGGAACGUAAAGGUGUCAUCGUCAUGACUUCCAUUUGUCACUUUGUCUCUUCUCUUCUAAAGAGAAUCCAAGGAUUUGUCAUCUGGAGUUUACGGCGCAUUGAUCGCAUUUUGGGUGGUUUUCCAAGCAGAUUCUUUGCACCAGUCUUCAGGACCAUUGAUCAAACUCUCUAUGGUUAUCCAAGCAAAACCUUAGGAUUUGUCUCCUCGAUUGUCAUUGAUCCUCUACUGAUGAUCCCAGGGAUUUUCAUCUGGAUUUUGCUCCCCAAUGAUAACACUUUCUAUGGUCUUCGAAAGGUAACCCUAGUCAUCUGGAUUGUAUGCUUCAUUGUCUUUCGUCUUACAAAGAGAACCUCAGGAGCAGUGAUGUACAAGAGGAGGGUCUAUGGUGAAACCUUUGGAGCUCAUCUUCAGCUUUUGGACCAAAUUCAGACUUCAGGAUUAAAUUUGAUUGAAGGAAAUGAUAAAGAAAGCUGCAUCACCAUCGUUUUCUGUCCUCUUACAUCUCGGAUUGGAACAGAUGCUGAAGCAGCCAUGAGGGUGGUUCCAGGUAAUGAUCCAGUCAUUCUGGUCCUCAUGCAUUACUUCCAGGAACCCAAACACAUCCCCUCCUCACAAGUCUUACCCAGUUACAGUUACCCUAACGUUGUCUUGGAGGUCCAUGUUUUCUACCAUGAAAGACAGAACGGUUUGUUGAGAUGUGACCAAAACGAGAAAGCUGUAAAUGAGUUAAAGGAAGAACUGAUGAAGCAUCACAGACCAUGAAGCUGUUACUCUGACAAUAAAGAUCAAAGCGACUGUUGUACUAUCCUGUCAUCAAAUCUGAUGUGUUGGUAACUUUGGUAUACAGUUGUUUUUGGUAACAGACUAAAUCUGUGUAGUGGUUAAAACCUGUUUUCUUUAACUGCAGAGACAGUUUUCACUUUUCAAAAAUGGAAUAAUUCACUUUUUUGCCUCUAUUUACAUUGCAUUAAUAAAUAAGGAACUUUUUUUUUUUUUUUUGUUACAUAAUUGAAUUCAAUUUACAAAAUAUUAAGAUGUUCUAUUGUGUGCUGCAGCACUAUGUUGUUAUGGAGAGGAAAUAUUAAAAGCCCUUUUGUGUUCUUCAAGUAAUGGAUUUCUAACCUUCAUUCUCAUUAACAAUAAAAUUCAAUUUCAUAAAUAGUCUGGAUCUUUGUUUUUUAAAUGUUUUAGUUUUACUGUAAUUUUUGCAAUAACAAACUGUAAGUGUGCAAUGUGUUCCUUAUCAACAUCCUUUUUUUUUUUUUUCUUUUUUCUAACUUGUCCUGUCCAACAGCUGAGCAAGCAGAUACGGGCUGAGAGCC
Molecule: long non-coding RNA, 1858 nt
Organism: Oryzias javanicus (javanese ricefish)
Lineage: Eukaryota; Metazoa; Chordata; Actinopteri; Beloniformes; Adrianichthyidae
Source: Ensembl